CUUGAGUGUACUCAACAAAAGAUAAACUUUAGUUAAGUCGGACCCAUCAUUCAGAAACAUCUGAUAUUUCAUAGUGUCAGACAUAUCCAUAAUAGAUCAGCCUUGAGUGUUCUCAACAAGCUGAGAUCGAUUUAGGACUCUGGGUUUUCACUAUAAUGAUGGAGGACAAAUGUAAAAUAUGACUUAAUAUUUUAUUGAGGUUUUUGUAUGCAUAGGUCUCAUCAAUAUCGAUAUAAUCACAUAUAUAUAAUUUAUUAUACAUCUACUAUGCAAAUAAAUAUACAUAUAGUAUAAUAUAAUAGUGUGGACAAUUAUGGACUUUUACUAUCUAGUCUUCCCGAGCCAUAAG
This 349-nucleotide long non-coding RNA is filed under the name Olea europaea subsp. europaea. The record is from RNAcentral. Lineage: Eukaryota; Viridiplantae; Streptophyta; Magnoliopsida; Lamiales; Oleaceae.